AUUGAACGCUGGCGGCAGGCCUAACACAUGCAAGUCGAACGGUAACAGGAAGAAGCUUGCUUCUUUGCUGACGAGUGGCGGACGGGUGAGUAAUGUCUGGGAAACUGCCUGAUGGAGGGGGAUAACUACUGGAAACGGUAGCUAAUACCGCAUAACGUCGCAAGACCAAAGAGGGGGACCUUCGGGCCUCUUGCCAUCGGAUGUGCCCAGAUGGGAUUAGCUAGUAGGUGGGGUAACGGCUCACCUAGGCGACGAUCCCUAGCUGGUCUGAGAGGAUGACCCGGCACACCGGAACUGAGGCACGGGCCAGACUCCUACGGGAGGCAGCAGGGGGGAAUAAUGGACAAUGGGCGGAAGCCUGAUGCAGGCAAGCCGCGGGGAUGAAGAAAGGCUUCGGGUUGUAAAGUACUUUUAGCGGGGAGGAAGGGAAUAAAGUUAAUACCUUUGCUCAUUGACGUUACCCGCAGAAGAAGCACCGGCUAACUCCGUG
RNAcentral lists this ribosomal RNA (490 nucleotides) under uncultured bacterium. RNAcentral's name for it is "partial 16S ribosomal RNA". It matches the Rfam family "Bacterial small subunit ribosomal RNA", at positions 29 to 507 of the family's 1533-position model. The record is from RNAcentral.